CCAUAUUAUGCUAUUUUGCAACUAAUUUCUCAUUCCAAGUAUUGUGAUCUUCAUGAAUCAGGUGGCAGAUUGGCAUUGAGCGUCUUGAUUCAUUUUCCAAUGCAUGCAUCACAACUCCAUUCAACAAUGAAUUAAGGGGUUCAGUACUCUAUCUAUGUGGCCAAUUGAUGAUUUCCAAGUAAUGAUGAGUAACAUGAUUCAUUCAAUCUUGUCGUUCUUCCCAAAAGUUCAAGAGCAAUGUUGCUUAUCAUUAACUCUGAUCAUCAUUGAUGAAUGUAAAUACCUGCAUGUAAAGGGUCAACUCAACCACAUGCGAGGUAAAAUUGGCAAUAUCAACAACCAUAUUCAAUUAAUGCUCAACCGAAAACUCCCUCAAGAUUUAGGCGGUGGUCUCCAGAGCAUAAAGGAGGUGUAUGGAUAACCAUGAAUUAUAUUAAACAACUUGUGCAUUAAUUAUUUGCAUGUGAAAACUAAGGAGUGCAAAGUAAUUGUUCAAACGUCGUAGUGUUGGUCCUCACCCUAUAACCUAAGUCGCAUGUUGGUCUCAACCCUUGCAAAGGAACACUUUGGUUCUCAGAUUUGCUCGUGAAAGAAAGGAAAGAGAGAGAAAAGAUCAGUCCAAUCAAAAUAGCAAUUUAGCGCCACGGAAUGAAUCAAGGAACUAAUGACGUUUUCAAUACCGACAGGAACUCCCAAAGAAAUCAAUUGUUGCAACUUCAUUACCCAUUUGGUUCUUUAUAAUUAGAGGAAUUGGGACACAUUGAUAUAGCAUAUCGAUAUAAGGAAAAUAAGAACCCGAUGGCUCAAGUCAAGUGUUCUUGCACUACUGGUCCCGAAGGACGAUAUCUAUGCUUACACUAAAUAGCUUCUAACCCAUAAAUAAUUUAUACAUGUUUAUUAUUAUGGGAUUGACUUGAAAAUUUGUCAAGGGGAUGCUAAAUUAGCCAAUGACAUUGUGAGGUGGUGGGCAUGGGCGGAUCCAGGGACAGGCUGG
Molecule: long non-coding RNA, 994 nt
Filed under: Olea europaea subsp. europaea
Lineage: Eukaryota; Viridiplantae; Streptophyta; Magnoliopsida; Lamiales; Oleaceae
Source: RNAcentral